UAAACAAAGCAUAGUCGAAAACACUAAACUAUCCGCCAGAGAACUACAAGCGAAAAGCUCGAAACUCCAAGGACUUGGCGGUGCUUCAUAUCAACCUAGAGGAGCCUGUCCUAUAAUCGAUACCCCGCGCUAAACCUUACCGCUUCUAGCCAACCAGCCUAUAUACCGCCGUCGUCAGCCUACCUCAUGAGAGAUGCAAAGUGAGCAAAAAAGUUAACAACUAACACGUCAGGUCAAGGUGUAGCACACGAAGCGGCAGAGAUGGGCUACAUUUUUUUCGAAGACAAAAUACGAAUAGUGAACUGAAACACACACUUGAAGGAGGAUUUAGUAGUAAGAUUGAAUGAUCCUAUUCAUCUAAAACCUGCUCUGAAGCGCGCACACACCGCCCGU
Molecule: ribosomal RNA, 393 nt
Filed under: Eremiascincus isolepis (Northern bar-lipped skink)
Lineage: Eukaryota; Metazoa; Chordata; Lepidosauria; Squamata; Scincidae
Description: partial 12S ribosomal RNA
Rfam family: Bacterial small subunit ribosomal RNA
Source: RNAcentral